UCGCGCUUGGUUGAAAAGCCAGU
Molecule: small nuclear RNA, 23 nt
Filed under: Arabidopsis thaliana (thale cress)
Lineage: Eukaryota; Viridiplantae; Streptophyta; Magnoliopsida; Brassicales; Brassicaceae
Description: snRNA_04988
Source: RNAcentral